RNAcentral lists this long non-coding RNA (211 nucleotides) under Mytilus galloprovincialis (Mediterranean mussel). The record is from RNAcentral. Lineage: Eukaryota; Metazoa; Mollusca; Bivalvia; Mytilida; Mytilidae.
GAUUUCAUAAAUAAAUAGAAAAUUUCUUCAAACAUUUUUUUGAGAGGAUUAAUAUUCAACAGCAUAGUGAAUUGCUCAAAGGCAAAUAAAAAUUUUUAAGUUCAUUAAACGAUAUUCAUUAUGUGUCAGAAACCUAUGCUGUGUCAACUAUUUAAUCACAAUCCAAAUUUAGAGCUGAAUCCAGCUUGAAUGUUGUGUCCAUACUUGCCCC